UAAUUUUUCUAUCCUUUCUCUACUGAAGAGAAUGGUAAGAUAUUAGUCUUCGUUGCUUGCUGUUACUGUUAAUGCACUACAUCCAUGCAUUGUGUUUGAAUUAAGGUUGCUGUGACAUCAAAAGUGAAAUUUGAUUCUACUGAAAUCUGUGGAAUCUUCAAAACCUACAAAAAAACAACAACAACAACAAAGAAAAUAUUUGACUAUCAGUAACAGUUUCUCUUCAAUGCAUAAUAGAGUCACAAAUAGCUUAUAAGGACCAAAAAAAUAUUGCAAAGGAUAUGCUACAGAAUUCAUAGGCUUGCUAUUAUAUCCAUGUUCCCCACCCAAAAAUCAUGACUUUCUGUAAGAACAGUCCUAUUCCUAGAUUAUAUAGCCUCACCCUUGGUGAGAAUGCAUAUGCACUGCCUUAGCAAACAUACUAUGGUACAUUCACAACUGUGGAUUUGGGGUAAUUAUCAAGCUAUGACUCAAUGUCUAAGUAUUAUAUUACCUCAUGUAAUACAUAUGUUUUCUAUACCUAUAUAAUGUUAUAUAAUAUAUCACAAAAUAGUUUUAUAGAGUACUCUAUUUUACAGAGAGUCAAAUGUUUUUUUCUUUUGUUAAUAAUCCACACUGUUGCCCAUUCUUCAGCUUUUCCCUAGGUGAGUUUAAUAAUUUUCAGAAUUUCUUGAAGUAAUUUCUGAUUCGUCAAAGACCAUCUUCAUCUAAAAAGACAUCUGCAGAAAGCUAACAGAAGUCUGAGUUUCCUGUGGAGAGCAACUUUCUGUCUGAGUGGCGUGCAUUCCACUCCUCCUCUGUACCAUACAGCCAGAAAAGAUGGGUUUGGAGCUGCCUUCCUGUGAAAUGGCUGGCUGGUGUGUGUGACAGGCCAUCAGAGGGCUGCCUCCAGGGAAGGAAAACCAUUGAGUAAUGAUUGCCUUUCCUCCAGGGAAAAGCUGUGCCUGUCCCGUCUACCCUUUGUCCACUUUCAUGUAAUCUUUAGGAAGGUAAUGUACCUGAGUCUCUUAUUUGGCUGCCACGUUGGAUUUGAAUUAGCCAUUGGAUGUAAGAGAUGUGGGAAGGACCAGCAGGUAGGCAGGCUGUUGCACUUACAUCAGCCUUAAUUCCAUAGAUAACGAGGUAGAUUUUCUGAUUGUUUUCAUCGAUUUCCUGAUAGUUUUUACUUAUUAGGAUAAGAGCUUUAAGUACUGGGGACGUUAAUAAAAUGCAGUAAUAACAUCUUCACUGCCUUCCGAAUGCUAGGAUAGUUUAUGUAAUGAAAAACCAAUUUUCUUCCCUUUUUGUACAUCUGCAUACUUUCAUGGAACUUCAUUAGGACAGUAAUAUUCAAUUAUUUGCUUAUAGUUGAAUCUCUCUAAUUCUUCCUAACUCUUCAUAUUUUUAAAAGUUAUUUCCCAUAAUAUUGCUAGUCAUACUGACUAGUUACUAUAAAUCCAUACUUUUCUAUGAGAAAUAUAAGCAGUCAAAGUGUUCUAUUGAUUUUAUGAUACACUUAGAAAUGCACUGUUAUUUAUGGAUUUAGGAGUAUAUAUAUUAGAAGCUGUUAUCAGAUUUAAAUGUUUUUGAAAGUCCAGAUUUGUUCAUACCGUUUAGCAUUUGGACAUAGUUUUGGCCUGGAGAAGUUCUUCCCAUACAGAUUUUUGACAAAGGGAUGCCCUGAGAGUCACUUGAAGAAUAACAUUGUCUCCAUUGGGGAAAUUAAGUCUUAGAGAGCAAGUUAAAUUAUGCAUUUGAACAAAUGAGUUGUAAUGCUUGGUCCUGGCUAAAACGGAAGAAUGGAAUUUAUCACAGUCUUUAUAAAUGAGGUGACUAUAAAUGCAUACAAAUACACGUAAAUACAAAUCUGAUGAGCAGAUGUUUUGUUCCUUUUACUUUUAGUCUGAACAGAAUAAUAUCUCUGUAUUUACCAGAGCUUUAUCUUCAUGAAAACUUGUUCUUAGUUACAAAUCACUUUUUUAGUAUUUCAGGCUCAAUAACUGGAAAGGUAUUAUUUCCACCUCAGGAAAAUGAAUAACAGCCUUUAAACCAGCUAUUCUGGUUCACAUAAGAAGCUCCAUCCUGCCCGUGGUAGUGAAAGUCUGUGGAGGAUGGACUAAAGAGCUCAUGAGCUAAUGGAACUCAUUGCAGACAUAAGGUAACCACAACUUCCAGCUAAAUGCACAACAGGCUGAUAAAGCUGUUUGUACACCGGACAAUGAACUGCAUAAGAGAUGUAGUUCUGUUUGUUUCUUCAGGAAAACCUCCUAAGAGCAGAGAAGAUGGCAAAGAAGAAAUCCCAGCUAUUUGAAAACCACAGGUGAGAUUCCAGUAUUUUAGAUGAAUAAGAAACCAUGUCGUUAUUAAACUUGAAAGAUACCAACAUCUCUGAGAUUGACAGCAUCCCAUGGAAGAUAGAUUUCCUGCUGCUACAGAAACAUAAUGGUGAUCCAAAGGUAAAUCAGCAGUGACAGAUCAGUGACCAUAUUGCACACUCAGCAUCCUCAAGAGCACUGUGUUUGUCUGCAUAGCUCAUGCUUUUCUUAUCUAAAGAGUUUUCUUAUCCAUAAUUAACUUCAGGAUUUGUUAGCCAUGAAGUGUUUAUUUGCAAGAUGUUUUCAAGCAAAAUAAUAAUAAAAAAAAAGCUCAUGCUAAGGCUGCCUCCC
Non-coding RNA from Phasianus colchicus (ring-necked pheasant), 2645 nucleotides. The record is from RefSeq and is a predicted model, not a curated record. Lineage: Eukaryota; Metazoa; Chordata; Aves; Galliformes; Phasianidae.